RNAcentral lists this transfer RNA (72 nucleotides) under Bos taurus (domestic cattle). It matches the Rfam family "tRNA". Rfam says of the family: Transfer RNA (tRNA) molecules are approximately 80 nucleotides in length. Their secondary structure includes four short double-helical elements and three loops (D, anti-codon, and T loops). The record is from Rfam by way of RNAcentral. Lineage: Eukaryota; Metazoa; Chordata; Mammalia; Artiodactyla; Bovidae. RNAcentral also lists the same sequence under 3 other names.
UCCCUGGUGGCUGAGAUGGUAAAGAAUCUGCCUGCAAUGCAGAAGACCUGGGUUCGAUCUCUGGGUUGGGAA